RNAcentral lists this long non-coding RNA (790 nucleotides) under Homo sapiens (human). RNAcentral describes it as "HSALNT0306192". Lineage: Eukaryota; Metazoa; Chordata; Mammalia; Primates; Hominidae. The record is from RNAcentral.
CUCGGGCCUGCGUCGCAUCCAACUUACUCCAAGUUUUCUGGCUCAACUCCGAAUGGAUUGGAUUGCGAGUCUGCACGUGAGAAAACCGUUUGGCUUGGCUUGGACCCCUGCCGCCCCCCACCUCCUCCACACACACCCAGUCCAGGGGUCCCCUUUAUCACCCUUUGCUUGCAACUCCAAAAGAAGUUGCCCACCUCCUGAGUCACAACACAAGGUCGAAUAAUUCCUCUAGAUGAAAGAUCAGUUUCAUUUCAAAACGAGAAUAGGUUCCUUUUUUUAUUUUCUCCACAUGGUACAAAAUAAACAGAAUUUGCUUUAAAAAAAAUCAUUAGCUGUGGCCAAAUUCGAAUUCCUUCUACAGCCUGUGUGUUCAAGGGCAGAAACAUUGUAUCUCUUCGGGCAUCUGGGCCGCCAAGCUGAGCGGGGGGAGGGGGGAGCGGCUGUGAAAGUUGAGGAAAUUGACAGACUGAGAGGUGAAUGGGGGGACAGGCACCAGGUCCUGGCUGGAGGGAAUUGGAAAACAAAAGUGCAUCCUUCUCACCCUGCCUGGGUGGAGGGAAUCCUGAGGGAGGUAGUUUGUUUUGCCCAUGGAAACCCCAAAGAAUUAUUUUUCCCCCUUCAAUGUUGAUUGCAAUAUUAUUUCACAUUUCCGUGUAUCUGUUGUUUUAAUCUCUUUCGUCUGCGCUAAUCUCGAAGUGGAUUAUUAAUGGGGAAGACAGAGAAGGAGAGAUUCAUUUGCAGGACUUAUUUUGCUGUGUGAGGAGCCGAAAGCCAGCAGCCCCCAGUCCUC